This 78-nucleotide ribosomal RNA is filed under the name Listeria monocytogenes. RNAcentral's name for it is "partial 16S ribosomal RNA". The record is from RNAcentral. Lineage: Bacteria; Bacillati; Bacillota; Bacilli; Caryophanales; Listeriaceae.
UAUUUUAAAAGAGAGAUUUUGACCUGGCUCAGGACGAACGCUGGCGGCGUGCCUAAUACAUGCAAGUCGAACGAAGGA